Molecule: ribosomal RNA, 499 nt
Filed under: uncultured bacterium
Lineage: Bacteria
Description: partial 16S ribosomal RNA
Rfam family: Bacterial small subunit ribosomal RNA
Source: RNAcentral
UGGGGAAUAUUGCACAAUGGGCGAAAGCCUGAUGCAGCAACGCCGCGUGAGUGAUGAAGGUCUUCGGAUUGUAAAGCUCUGUCUUUUGGGACGAUAAUGACGGUACCAAAGGAGGAAGCCACGGCUAACUACGUGCCAGCAGCCGCGGUAAUACGUAGGUGGCGAGCGUUGUCCGGAUUUACUGGGCGUAAAGGGUGCGUAGGCGGAUGUUUAAGUGAGAUGUGAAAUACCCGGGCUUAACUUGGGUGCUGCAUUUCAAACUGGAUAUCUAGAGUGCAGGAGAGGAGAAUGGAAUUCCUAGUGUAGCGGUGAAAUGCGUAGAGAUUAGGAAGAACACCAGUGGCGAAGGNGAUUCUCUGGACUGUAACUGACGCUGAGGCACGAAAGCGUGGGUAGCAAACAGGAUUAGAUACCCUGGUAGUCCACGCCGUAAACGAUGAGUACUAGGUGUAGGAGGUAUCGACCCCUUCUGUGCCGCAGUAAACACAUUAAGUACUCC